RNAcentral lists this small nuclear RNA (180 nucleotides) under Zalophus californianus (California sea lion). RNAcentral's name for it is "U2 spliceosomal RNA (ENSZCAG00015015503.1)". It matches the Rfam family "U2 spliceosomal RNA". Rfam says of the family: U2 is a small nuclear RNA (snRNA) component of the spliceosome (involved in pre-mRNA splicing). Complementary binding between U2 snRNA (in an area lying towards the 5' end but 3' to hairpin I) and the branchpoint sequence (BPS) of the intron results the bulging out of an unpaired adenosine, on the BPS, which initiates a nucleophilic attack at the intronic 5' splice site, thus starting the first of two transesterification reactions that mediate splicing. The record is from RNAcentral. Lineage: Eukaryota; Metazoa; Chordata; Mammalia; Carnivora; Otariidae.
AUCACUCCCCGGCCUUUUGGCUAAGAUGAAGUUCUUAUGAGUUUAAUUAUCUGAUACAUCCUCUAGUCAAGACAACAAAUUCAAUGGAUUUUUGGAGCAGGGAGAUGGAAGAGGAGCCUGCUCCAUCCACACCAUGUGUGGACCUGGUAUUGCAGGACUUCCAGGAAUGGUGCACCCCCU